CCAGUAAGAGUAUUGAAAACUAGCACUAUUACUUGGAAGACUAGACAAAAUAAGCACCAAAUCACAGAAUUUUCAUCUGAGGCAACUUCAAGAAGGUUCAAGAUGACGCUGAAAAUUCACAUAGUUUAUUGUGGUGCAUGAGGAUAUGCCCCCAAGUUUCGCAAAAUUAAAGCGGAACUUGAGAAAGAAUUUGGCAAUGAGUUGGAAAUAACAGGAGAGGGAACUCCAACCACUACAGGUUGGCUGGAGGUCCAGAUUGUAGGAGGGGAACUUCUCCAUUCCA
Saccostrea echinata is the source of this 283-nucleotide long non-coding RNA. RefSeq lists it as uncharacterized. The transcript has 4 exons. NCBI's taxonomy places the organism in Eukaryota, Metazoa, Mollusca, Bivalvia, Ostreida, Ostreidae. The record is from RefSeq and is a predicted model, not a curated record.